UGGGGAAUCUUGCGCAAUGGCCGAAAGGCUGACGCAGCGACGCCGCGUGUGGGAUGAAGCCCUUCGGGGUGUAAACCACUGUUGCCCGGGGCGAACAAGCGGUUUAGACCGCUCUGACGGUACCGGGUGAGGAAGCACCGGCUAACUCCGUGCCAGCAGCCGCGGUAAUACGGAGGGUGCGAGCGUUGUCCGGAAUCACUGGGCGUAAAGGGCGCGUAGGCGGUUCGCUAAGCGUGCGGUGAAAGCCCGGGGCUCAACCCCGGGUCGGCCGUGCGAACUGGCGGACUUGAGCACUGUAGAGGCGGGUAGAAUUCCGGGUGUAGCGGUGGAAUGCGUAGAGAUCCGGAAGAAUACCGGUGGCGAAGGCGGCCCGCUGGGCAGUGGCUGACGCUGAGGCGCGACAGCGUGGGGAGCAAACAG
Molecule: ribosomal RNA, 420 nt
Filed under: uncultured bacterium
Lineage: Bacteria
Description: bacterial SSU rRNA
Rfam family: Bacterial small subunit ribosomal RNA
Source: RNAcentral